AUCCUCUCAGGGUUGCACCUGGAGAGUUUCCAGUACUCUACCAGUCUCAGCUACGAGAGGGAGAGUUAAGCAGAGGCAUAUCCCUUCCAUUCCUAGUUUGGGCAGUGGCGAGCGAGUGAAAGGCAAUCUGCUACAAGU
Molecule: small nucleolar RNA, 138 nt
Filed under: Ornithorhynchus anatinus (platypus)
Lineage: Eukaryota; Metazoa; Chordata; Mammalia; Monotremata; Ornithorhynchidae
Source: RNAcentral